UCAAUUGAUAGUCGGUGUGUAAAUCUCCUACCGAGCUGUGUUAAUAUCUGGGUGUGUUCGAAAGAUGUGCAUCGUUUCUAAUAAAUGUAGAUUACAGAUUGUUGUAAAAUGCCGUACGUACAUGUUGAAGGAUUUCCUAUAAAUAAGAUUCAAUUUUGGUAGUUCGCUUAUUAGCAAGCUGCACAACCUAUGAUUCAUUCUGCAAUGGGGGUUAAGAUGGGUAUUCGCUUUUUGAACAAAUGGGAAGAAUGAGCCCAAAUGAAUGGUUAAAGUUGGAAAAUACAUCAAUGUGGCGUGUAUUAAACCAUAUCGCUGUCCUAUCAGCUCAAAAGUUGGAUUAAUAGUAUCCAUCUUUUCAAAAGUGUCUAGUAUCUUAUGAGCUAA
RNAcentral lists this ribosomal RNA (384 nucleotides) under Gymnodinium catenatum. Its description in RNAcentral is "partial Bacterial large subunit ribosomal RNA". The record is from RNAcentral. Lineage: Eukaryota; Dinophyceae; Gymnodiniales; Gymnodiniaceae.